UGGGGAAUAUUGCGCAAUGGGGGCAACCCUGACGCAGCCAUGCCGCGUGUGUGAAGAAGGCCUUCGGGUUGUAAAGCACUUUCACUUGGGAAGAAAAGCUCAUCGUUAAUAGCGGUGAGCCCUGACAUUACCUUGAGAAGAAGCACCGGCUAACUCCGUGCCAGCAGCCGCGGUAAUACGGAGGGUGCGAGCGUUAAUCGGAAUUACUGGGCGUAAAGCGCGCGUAGGCGGUUUGUUAAGUCAGCUGUGA
This 250-nucleotide ribosomal RNA is filed under the name uncultured bacterium. RNAcentral's name for it is "partial 16S ribosomal RNA". It matches the Rfam family "Bacterial small subunit ribosomal RNA", at positions 355 to 597 of the family's 1533-position model. The record is from RNAcentral.